Molecule: ribosomal RNA, 390 nt
Filed under: uncultured bacterium
Lineage: Bacteria
Description: bacterial SSU rRNA
Rfam family: Bacterial small subunit ribosomal RNA
Source: RNAcentral
GACGAACGCUUGCGACGUGCCUAAGAAAUGCAAGUCGAACGGGGGAGGCAAUCCCUACGUGGCGAACGGUCGCGUAACACGUGGGCAACCUGCCCUGAAGUGGGGGACGAACAUGCCGAAAGGUAGUGCUAAUACCGCAUGUGGAUUGUGAUGGCAUCAUCAAGGAUCCAAAGCCGCAAGGCGCUUCAGGAUGGGCCCGCGGCCUAUCAGCUAGUUGGUGGGGUAACGGCCUACCAAGGCUUCGACGGGUAGCUGGUCUGAGAGGACGAUCAGCCGGAUUGGGACUGAGAUACGGCCCAGACUCCUACGGGGGGCANCAAUUAGGAAUCUUGCACAAUGGGCGAAANCCUGAUGCAGCGACGUCGCGUGGAGGAUGAAAUCUUUCGGGAU